UCAGCAUCAGUUCGUCAUCAUCACCAUUGCCUAAUUUGCCUUUUCUUACUUUGGUCCAGUUAUUCUUCAGUUAGUUUGACUUAUGGUUCCUGCUGAAAGUUCAAAAUUUACUUCCAUAUAAAUGACAGGAGAAUAUGUUAUUGUGACAUCAUGAAGUUUGUGAAGAUUAGUCAGUCAAAUUCUGAAAAGCCAUGGGGAUCUGCUGGACUUGUCCAGUACUGACACACUCAGUUCUAUGUUACCUUGUUGGACAUCAGAUGUUAAUGUCAGUGUUUGGACCGUUGCAAACUGUGAAGCACAGUCUUGCAUCUUUUAUGCCUGAAACUGCUGCGGUUGGUUGUAGCUAUUUUACUUUUUUUCUAUGAAUCACUAUUGAUGCCGAUUGAUGCAA
This is a long non-coding RNA of Gossypium arboreum, 391 nucleotides long. RefSeq lists it as uncharacterized. NCBI's taxonomy places the organism in Eukaryota, Viridiplantae, Streptophyta, Magnoliopsida, Malvales, Malvaceae. The record is from RefSeq and is a predicted model, not a curated record. The transcript is spliced from 3 exons.